Molecule: ribosomal RNA, 135 nt
Filed under: Pogona vitticeps (central bearded dragon)
Lineage: Eukaryota; Metazoa; Chordata; Lepidosauria; Squamata; Agamidae
Source: RNAcentral
UUAUGUCAGACCCAUUUGACCAUGCCCAGGGACUUUGCAUAUAUCUGACUCUUAUUUUGGAAGUUAAGCAGGUCAGGCCUCGUUAGUACUUGGAUUGAUGACCACCAUGGAAAAUACCUCCAGGUAGAGCAAGGA